RNAcentral lists this ribosomal RNA (304 nucleotides) under uncultured bacterium. Its description in RNAcentral is "partial 16S ribosomal RNA". It matches the Rfam family "Bacterial small subunit ribosomal RNA", at positions 506 to 807 of the family's 1533-position model. The record is from RNAcentral.
CAGCAGUCGCCACGGUAAUACGAAGGGUGCAAGCGUUACUCGGAAUUACUGGGCGUAAAGCGUGCGUAGGUGGUGGUUUAAGUCCGUUGUGAAAGCCCUGGGCUCAACCUGGGAAUUGCAGUGGAUACUGGGUCACUAGAGUGUGGUAGAGGAUAGUGGAAUUUCCGGUGUAGCAGUGAAAUGCGUAGAGAUCGGAAGGAACAUCUGUGGCGAAGGCGACUAUCUGGGCCAACACUGACACUGAGGCACGAAAGCGUGGGGAGCAAACAGGAUUAGAUACCCGAGUAGUCCCUGUCUCUUAUAC